AGGCCUAACACAUGCAAGUCGAACGGCAGCCAGUAAGAGCUUGCUCUUAUGGGUGGCGAGUGGCGGACGGGUGAGGAAUACAUCGGAAUCUACUCUGUCGUGGGGGAUAACGUAGGGAAACUUACGCUAAUACCGCAUACGACCUACGGGUGAAAGCAGGGGAUCUUCGGACCUUGCGCGAUUGAAUGAGCCGAUGUCGGAUUAGCUAGUUGGCGGGGUAAAGGCCCACCAAGGCGACGAUCCGUAGCUGGUCUGAGAGGAUGAUCAGCCACACUGGAACUGAGACACGGUCCAGACUCCUACGGGAGGCAGCAGUGGGGAAUAUUGGACAAUGGGCGCAAGCCUGAUCCAGCCAUACCGCGUGGGUGAAGAAGGCCUUCGGGUUGUAAAGCCCUUUUGUUGGGAAAGAAAUCCAGCCGGCUAAUACCUGGUUGGGAUGACGGUACCCAAAGAAUAAGCACCGGCUAACUUCGUGCCAGCAGCCGCGGUAAUACGAAGGGUGCAAGCGUUACUCGGAAUUACUGGGCGUAAAGCGUGCGUAGGUGGUCGUUUAAGUCCGUUGUGAAAGCCCUGGGCUCAACCUGGGAACUGCAGUGGAUACUGGACGACUAGAGUGUGGUAGAGGGUAGCGGAAUUCCUGGUGUAGCAGUGAAAUGCGUAGAGAUCAGGAGGAACAUCCAUGGCGAAGGCAGCUACCUGGACCAAC
RNAcentral lists this ribosomal RNA (706 nucleotides) under uncultured Pseudomonadota bacterium. RNAcentral describes it as "bacterial SSU rRNA". It matches the Rfam family "Bacterial small subunit ribosomal RNA", at positions 44 to 738 of the family's 1533-position model. The record is from RNAcentral. Lineage: Bacteria; Pseudomonadati; Pseudomonadota.